Molecule: RNA transcript, 1964 nt
Organism: Tribolium castaneum (red flour beetle)
Lineage: Eukaryota; Metazoa; Arthropoda; Insecta; Coleoptera; Tenebrionidae
Gene: Dd
Gene name: Dullard
Exons: 7
Source: RefSeq, a predicted model, not a curated record
GUGUCAAACGCUCUCUGGGUCGAUUUUAAUGGCGGUUAACAAAUCGGGUAAAAGUUAAAAUGUGAUAAGCAACGUGAAAUAACAAAUCACCAAAACCCGCUGUAUCCUCCUUGUGUCUAAAUUGUGGCAAAGUGUAGAAAAAAAUACAUUUCAAUGUUGAAGCAAUUACAAAUGGGACUACGAGCAUUCAUGCUUCUAGCAUCGAGAGUUUGGACAUGUUUGUGUUUUAUGAUAAAAAAGCAAACUAGAGCGAUAAUUCAGCAUCAAUCGGUCAAAUAUGAUUUGUUCCCCUUAUCACCGCUAUCGAGGCAUAGGCUUAGUAUAGUAAAACGGAAAGUGCUCGUCCUCGACUUGGACGAGACUUUGAUCCACUCGCACCACGAUGGGGUGGUGCGCCAAACCGUGAGACCGGGGACUCCCCCGGAUUUCGUACUUAAAGUGGUCAUAGACAGGCAUCCCGUGCGAUUUUUUGUCCAUAAAAGACCACAUGUAGAUUUCUUCCUAGAUAUAGUUUCCCAGUGGUACGAAUUGGUCGUUUUCACGGCCAGUAUGGAGAUUUACGGCGCUGCCGUAGCUGAUAAGUUGGACGCAGGUCGGGGAAUCCUCCAGAGGAGGUUUUACAGGCAGCACUGCACCCCCGAUCUCGGCUCGUACACCAAAGAUUUGGGUGCGAUCUGCAACGAUCUCUCCAGUGUUUUUAUUUUGGAUAACAGUCCGGGGGCCUACCGCGCCUACCCUGGGCCGCAAUUAACUGAUCACGUGACCAAAUUGAACCAAUUUGAGUGGUCUAUUCACUUUUAACAGCGCAAUAAAUUUUAAUCGAGCUUUUUAUAAGCCGGUUUAUAAGGUGUUACUUUUCUAAUGUUGCCCAGUGUUUUGAUGAACGUUGCCCUGUCGGUAGUGUGGAGUAUGUUUGAGGGUAAAAAUUUUGGUGAUUUUCGUCGUGUCCCGAACUGAGAGAUCCCACCGACGUGGCGUUGCUCAAUCUGCUUCCGGUUUUGGACGCAUUGAGGUUCACAGCGGACGUCCGAUCCGUCUUGUCGCGGAAUCUCCACUUGCACCGGCUUUGGUAGAGGAGGUUUCUCGUGCUCAAACUGGACAAUAGUGGUGUCUGUCACCCACACUUAUCUUCCACACUCCUACCAACACCGGAAGUAACCACCCAAACAGAACUGUUAUUACUUUUAAUUGUUUCGUUUGAAUUCAGUUAUUUAUUUUAUUGUUUGUGUAGUCUAUUGAGUUCUAUCAUUCCAUGAUUAGCGGAAUUAUUAUUUAGACCAAAGACCCCGAAAUUGUUUGGCUUAUUGUACAGCAUUUUGUUCAGCUCAUUGUACAUAAAUAGCGUAAGUUUUCCAAGACUCUGAUCUUAUUUUCUGCAUCAGAAAAUAAUUAUACGAAACAAUAAUUUUGUGUUCAAAAUUAUUGGGACUAGAUUAGAUAAUAAUGUAUAUAGGUAGUUCAGCUUGGCUAAAAUUAGGCAAAGCUUCGAUUUUUGGCACCAAUUAUUGUCAUAUCAUAAACUCGGUGCCUGAGUUGAACACCACAUUUCGUGGCCAAUUUUUAUUUACAGUUGAACUGUACUUAAGCGCCCUCACGCGGCCAAUUUUUUUAAGUAAGCUUUGCCAACUCCGUUGGGAGCUUGCCAACAGUUUUGGUUUGUAAAUAAUUGUAAAUUGUGACGCUGUCUUAAUGUUAUUGUUGAAACUACUAGAUAAGGUGCUACUUCACACUUUUGUGAAUAGUCAAAUAGGGUGUGCUGUCUUUAGAAAAAAUUGUUUUUUUUUGCCUGGUAGGUUGUACUUACGGCAAGUUUUGGAAUAGUUAAUUGUUAGUUUCUAGGUACAAAUCCUAACCUUUGUAAAUACAUGUUUUAGCGUUUAAACUGUACAGUAACUCUAUACAAACUUGGAACAAAGUACCUAAUAAAUGACCUUUUACAGUGAAAUAAAACUAUUUAAGUAGAA